CGAGCGGGGAUUUUGCGGCUUCUCCGGCGUGGGCGAGUCGUUCGCUUGCCUCUGCCAUAACGGCGUGAAUACCACGAACAACUGUUACGGCCGAGGAUCCGCUUGGAGUGGAACGUGGGGACCCAAGAGUCAAGCCAGGAUCAUCAUAAAAGGAUUGAUGAUCUGGUGGAUUCUGCUCUCCAUCUCACUGCCUCUAAUCUGAAUGUUCAAUGCGCAUGGAGGAGACUUGGUGAUUUGCUGAAUGCCUUAUCUAAGUUUUCCUGGAGCUGACGAGGUUCCGCAGUUGACCAGAUCACGUGAAAUUUUUCUGGAUACUAGAUCCUAUGGUUUCGGAAUGUGGUGUGAGAUUCUUUGUUCAGAAUUAAUGUGAAUUCCCAAUUCGCAUAACCUCUAGAGUUUGGAAGGUGAAAAGUACAUCCAAGGUUCGUCAGUUUUAAUCGAGUAACAUCAUGAAUCACAUUUUUCUUGUGUUGGUGGGCUUGGGAUUAAUUUAAGAAAACAAACUAGCAGCAGAAGCAGAUGAUGUGAAUGGAAGUUGAGACCGUCUUCGUGGUCA
Molecule: long non-coding RNA, 556 nt
Organism: Eucalyptus grandis
Lineage: Eukaryota; Viridiplantae; Streptophyta; Magnoliopsida; Myrtales; Myrtaceae
Exons: 3
Source: RefSeq, a predicted model, not a curated record